AGAGUUUGAUCCUGGCUCAGAUUGAACGCUGGCGGCGUGCUUAACACAUGCAAGUCGAGCGGUAACAGGCGUAGCAAUACGUGCUGACGAGCGGCGAACGGGUGCGUAAUACAUGGGAAUCUGCCUUUUAGUGGGGAAUAACCCGGCGAAAGCCGGGCUAAUGCCGCAUAAGAUCUUCGGAUGAAAGCGGGGGAUCGUAAGACCUCGCGCUGAAAGAUGAGCCCAUGCCGGAUUAGCUAGUUGGUGAGGUAACGGCUCACCAAGGCGACGAUCCGUAGCUGGUCUGAGAGGACGGCCAGCCACACUGGGACUGAGACACGGCCCAGACUCCUACGGGAGGCAGCAGUGGGGAAUAUUGGACAAUGGGCGAAAGCCUGAUCCAGCGACGCCGCGUGUGUGAAGAAGGCCUGCGGGUUGUAAAGCACUUUCGAUGGGAACGAAAUGUGCCGGGCUAAUACCCCGGCAAGCUGACGUACUCAAUGAAGAG
Molecule: ribosomal RNA, 487 nt
Filed under: uncultured Gammaproteobacteria bacterium
Lineage: Bacteria; Pseudomonadati; Pseudomonadota; Gammaproteobacteria
Description: bacterial SSU rRNA
Rfam family: Bacterial small subunit ribosomal RNA
Source: RNAcentral